AAGCCAGUCAACAAAUCUGCUACCUGAGUGUGUUUCUGCAGAAAUUUAGAAGCUAGCAAUAGUGGACAUUGAGGUCAUUAUAUUCCCUGAAAAUGGGAGCU
RNAcentral lists this small nucleolar RNA (101 nucleotides) under Myotis lucifugus (little brown bat). Its description in RNAcentral is "Small nucleolar RNA SNORA33 (ENSMLUG00000021065.2)". Lineage: Eukaryota; Metazoa; Chordata; Mammalia; Chiroptera; Vespertilionidae. The record is from RNAcentral.